CGCGGUAAUUUGACCGUGCGAAGGUAGCAUAAUCAAUAGUCUCUUAAUUGGAGGCUGGAAUGAAUGGUUGCACAAAAAAUAAUCUGUCUCAGCUGUAGGAGUAGAAUUUUACUUUUGAGUGAAAAGGCUCAAAUAUAUUAAGGGGACGAUAAGACCCUAUAAAACUUUAUAUAAUAAGGUUAAUUUUUGAAUUUUGGUGUUAAAGUGAAUUAGUCUUUAUUUAUUAUGUUGGGGCGACAAGAAUAUAAAUGAGUAACUGUUUGUAAAUUAAAAUAAGUAUGUUUAGAAAUGUGAUCCUUUUUUAGGGAUUGAAAGAAAAAGUUACUUUAGGGAUAACAGCGUAAUUUUUUCUGAGAGUUCUUAUCGACGAAAGUAGUUGCGACCUCGAUGUUGAAUUAAGAUUUCCCUGAGGGGUAGAAG
This 420-nucleotide ribosomal RNA is filed under the name Alvinocaris longirostris. RNAcentral's name for it is "partial 16S ribosomal RNA". It matches the Rfam family "Bacterial large subunit ribosomal RNA", at positions 1932 to 2561 of the family's 2925-position model. Lineage: Eukaryota; Metazoa; Arthropoda; Malacostraca; Decapoda; Alvinocarididae. The record is from RNAcentral.